RNAcentral lists this ribosomal RNA (254 nucleotides) under uncultured bacterium. RNAcentral's name for it is "partial 16S ribosomal RNA". It matches the Rfam family "Bacterial small subunit ribosomal RNA", at positions 793 to 1055 of the family's 1533-position model. The record is from RNAcentral.
GUCCACACUGUAACGAUGAUUACUAGGUGUUGGAGGAUUGACCCCUUCAGUGCCGCAGUUAACACAAUAAGUAAUCCACCUGGGAGUACGACCGCAAGGUUGAACUCAAGGAAUUGACGGGGCCCGCACAAGCAGUGGAGUAUGUGGUUUAAUUCGACGCAACGCGAAGAACCUUACCAAGUCUUGACAUCCUGCGACGGACAUAGAAUAUGUUUUCCUUCGGGACGCAGAGACAGGUGGUGCAUGGUUGUCGU